This 466-nucleotide ribosomal RNA is filed under the name uncultured bacterium. RNAcentral describes it as "bacterial SSU rRNA". It matches the Rfam family "Bacterial small subunit ribosomal RNA", at positions 33 to 507 of the family's 1533-position model. The record is from RNAcentral.
GACGACGCUGGCGGCGUGCUUAACACAUGCAAGUCGAACGGUGACGAGGAGCUUGCUCCUCUGAUCAGUGGCGAACGGGUGAGUAACACGUGAGCAACCUGCCCCAGACUCUGGGAUAACAGUUGGAAACAGCUGCUAAUACCGGAUACGAGACGGAGAGGCAUCUCUACCGUCUGGAAAGUUUUUCGGUCUGGGAUGGACUCGCGGCCUAUCAGCUAGUUGGUGAGGUAAUGGCUCACCAAGGCGACGACGGGUAGCCGGCCUGAGAGGGCGACCGGCCACACUGGGACUGAGACACGGCCCAGACUCCUACGGGAGGCAGCAGUGGGGGAAUAUUGCACAAUGGGCGAAAGCCUGAUGCAGCGACGCCGCGUGAGGGAUGACGGCCUUCGGGUUGUAAACCUCUUUCAGCAGGGAAGAAGCGAAAGUGACGGUACCUGCAGAAGAAGCACCGGCUAACUACGUG